CAGCACUUAAUGAUUGAUUGAUUGGCUGGCCAUUGGCGGCAGAAAGGGGAAAUGUGCAAAGAUGCUGCUGAUCUUGGUGAGGCUCGGAAUCUGUUCUUUUUCACUGGGACUGGUGAUCGAGAAAAAAAUUGAAUCGAAAUGAUGAAAUAAAUGGGCCCAAAGCCUACGGGAAGAGGUAAUUUCUGGAAUUUUCUCCCUUUUCAGUCCGAUUCAUCAUUAUCUGCAGGAAAGAGAAAACGGGGGUAAAUCCAUAAACCAUAAUUGCAAAUACAAAGUACUUCGUGUCUCGCGUGUGCUAUUGCGUUAAUUUGCCAGGGCUCUUCUACAAAUUGCAAAUUACAAUGGAAGACGCCUGUUUGAAAUUCUUUGAUCAAAUUAUCAUUCUGUGGGGCUUUUCCUUUCUCUCUCUCUCUCUCUCUCUCUCUCUCUCUCUCUCUCUGUCUCUCUCUGUAGGCCUAGGCCCUAGCUAGCACUAGCAGCUGUAAAAUGCAAAUAAGACACCCUCUCUUGUACAGGAAAAGGGCCACACAGGCUUAGCCAUAACGACUUUAGAUGAAAUGGAAAAAAAAUGGAUAAUAAUUCCUGGAACUUAAUUUUGUCAUUUCUCUAAUGGAACGUUGUAAAAUGGCCGUUGAAUGACCGGAAUCUCCAGAUAAACUUUCUAAUGAGGUCCCUCAUCCUCUCUAUAUUUCUACAUCAAGUCUCUUUCACCCUGUCCUGCCUAGCCUAUGCCACUUAGCACGCGCUGCCUGGCACUGCAGGUUUUCUUUAUCUCUUGUGUUAUUGUAUUGCCUCUUUCUUCGCUAAAUUAUUUUCAUGCAUAGGAAAUUAAUGAAUUUUCGGAGUUUUGAGGGUGAUGGGCAUGUGCUUUCUUGAAUAUAAUAGUGGCAGUGUGCAUUCUUUUUUGGUGGUGAAAAGCUCCGCAUGGGGAAAGAAGAGAAAGACACUAAAAAUUCGAAAAGGUGAUUUUGACCUAAUCCUCCCUUAUCUUACAGUUUUUCACUUUCUGUUUAAGUCACAUGGACCCUACCUUACAAAGUGUUAAACCCAAAUUCCAAAUACCCACCUGUCUGUCUGUUUCCACCUCAUUGUUAUUUAUAUUUCAAAACCAAAUCAUAUUCAUACAUACUUGGGUUUUUUCUCUUUUUGUUUUUCCUUUAGUAAUUAUUGCUUUGAAAUGAUUGCAUUCAAUUAUGUUUGUAAGUGCACCUUUUAGAAAAAUAAUUUUGACAUUUGUUGUUUCUUCAUCUUCUUCUUCCAGUUGUGAAAAUUUGUAUGGAAGUUAGUCGAAAUGAUGGGCCACAAAAAAGCCAAAUAGAAGAUGGUUGUGAAUGGAUGGUACUGUGGGGAAUUCAAAUAUGAGUGUGUUUUUUCAAUAGGGUUUUGCUUUUUGUCUCUAGAAACUGUUAUUCUUGCUAAGUGAAAAAACGUUUCACAGUAGCAUGCCAUGCUUAUUCUCAUGAUCAUCAUAUGUUCUCCAACAUGCUCAAGUGCUAAUCAUCACCCUCUUGACCCCAUCAUCACAUGUGUGAGAGAGAGAGAGAGAGAGAGAGAGAGCUUCCUUCUUGUCUAGCUAGCUAGUUAGUUCGAAGCUUAUCUUUGUGACACUUUUUUAACCCCAUUUCAUUUCACAUUCAUUUAUCUAAGCAUCAUACUUUCCUUUACCUUAGAAACCAGAAUAGCUAUGCUAGAUAUUGUGCAAUGGUCAGUUAAAGCACUAACCAUGUAUAGGGGUUAAAAAUAGGAAUCAGGAAAGAAAAGGUAGGUAUUUUGUAUUUAUAAAGUUAGAUAGCUUUUUGCUUGUGUACAUUAAAAAUAGCCAUCAUAAGUGCUUUCUGUAGAAAAAUAAUAAAAGGCUAGACUCUAGAGAAAGAUACAAAAGGUGAAGCUUUGCUUCCAUCUCAAGCCUUCAGAAAGCUUACAAUACAAUACAAUGAGCUUCAUCUUCAUUUUCAUUGCUUUGCACAUUUUCCAAGCGCAUUGUCCAACUUGGCCUACCAUAUCCAUUACCCAAUUACCCUUGCUCUCAUUUCCCUCUUUUUAUUUAAAGUUAUCUUAAUGCUACAUAAAUUUUUUAGUAGUGCUCUUUCCCCUCCACCCCCCCCCCCCCCCCCCCCCCCCCCACCCCCCAAUGCUAUUAAGUAAUAACAAUUUUGUGGAAUUAUCAAUGAUGAAUUUAUUUUUCUUGUUUUAUUUGGCAUGUUUUGAAUUUCAAUGAAAGAUUGAGACAUUACCUAGCUGUGACGCAAACAGAACAAUGAAUAAGGGAUCAUAUUUUGUCGUUCAUGGCCUGCCCCAUAAAAACAAUGGAAAAAUGCCAAUCUCACAAGCUGGGUGCUGGUGGUGCUAGUGCCACACACACAGAAAUAUAUAUUCAAAUAGACAAAUUGAUUUGGAUCCCAAUCCUCCUUUCUUCUGCAAAUAUUCUCUGAACCAAAUGGGCAGAGAAUAUUCCCAAUCCCAAUCCCAAUCCUCGAGGAAUUGCUUUGUCUUUGAAGGAAAGAUGGAAGAUCCUGUGUUUUCUGCUACAAGAGCAGAAGCCGUUGUGGAGUCAUAUAGGAGGAUAAAAUCUGGUAAAAAUAUUGCUUUGGCGGGGCAGCAGCAAAAUGGGCAGCAAGUUUGGAAGCCCCCUCCACCUGGCUUGUUCAAAGUAAAUGUAGAUGCGGCUACAAAUUUAUCUAAACAAAGGGGAGGGAUUGGAGCUGUGGUCAGAGAUUCCAAAGGAGAUUGUGUAGCUGCAGCAGCUCAGAGAACUACUCUUAAAGGCAAUGUUGCAGACAUGGAGGCUGACGCUGUGCUGCUAGGCAUCCAAGUAGCGAGGAAAGCAAAUUGUGCCCAUUUUGUUAUUGAAUCAGAUUCUAAAGAAGUUGUGGAGCUUGUUCUGAAAAAGAAGAGCAGCUUAGCUGAAAUAUCAUGGAACGUAGAAGAAAUUCAGGAAUGUUUAAAAGGGCAGAACACGACAUCUAUUCUUUUUGUACUAAGAAGGUGUAAUGUCAUGGCUCAUAACUUGGCAAAGGUAGCUUUAGAUCGUGUAGACCCUGUCCUUUGAAUAGGAAACUGCCCAGUUCCCGCUGUGGAUGUUAUUCUCCAGUUUUAAUCAAUGGAAAGGCCUACUUUCUCUCAAAAAAAAUAAUAAUAAUGAACCAUCAACUAUCUAAACGUCGUAAUUCAAAAAUCCAUCUAAGAUGUCAAAAAUAAAUAAAAAUUCCAAGAAGUACAAUCAUGAGAAGAAAAAUA
RNAcentral lists this long non-coding RNA (3237 nucleotides) under Citrus maxima (pomelo). RNAcentral's name for it is "long non-coding RNA (CMAX_LNC003243)". The record is from RNAcentral. Lineage: Eukaryota; Viridiplantae; Streptophyta; Magnoliopsida; Sapindales; Rutaceae.